UCUCGAGUAGGGAUUUUUAGGAGAGUUGUUUCCGUGCUUCCUUCGAUAGCUCAGCUGGUAGAGCGGAGGACUGUAGUACUUAAUGUGUGGUCAUCCUUAGGUCGCUGGUUCGAUUCCGGCUCGAAGGAGACGCUGCUGUUUUGGGGUUUACGGUUGCUCUUCGUUUGUGCAAAAAAUCUCUGUAUCUUGACGUGAUCAAAUCUGUUUCUGUCUCUCACCCUUGUCCGAAGGAAACAGCUUAGCCGCGAGGUGGGCUGCGUUAAUCGCGUCUUGAAAAGUUGGUUACCUUUCUGAAAGAUAGUAGACCCGAAUCGUCCCACCGUUGGGGGAAGGCACUGUUGUCUUACCGAAGUGUGUUAUAUUUUGGCUUCUAC
This 374-nucleotide transfer RNA is filed under the name Homo sapiens (human). RNAcentral describes it as "LHRI_LNC2045.1". The stretch from base 40 to 128 matches the Rfam family "tRNA". Lineage: Eukaryota; Metazoa; Chordata; Mammalia; Primates; Hominidae. The record is from RNAcentral.